Molecule: ribosomal RNA, 333 nt
Filed under: uncultured bacterium
Lineage: Bacteria
Description: bacterial SSU rRNA
Rfam family: Bacterial small subunit ribosomal RNA
Source: RNAcentral
CGCGUAGGCGGCCCUGCAAGUCCGAUGUGAAAUCCCUCGGCUCAACCGGGGACCCGGCGUCGGAAACUGCAGGGCUUGAGUGCAGGAGAGGAGAGCGGAAUUCCCAGUGUAGCGGUGAAAUGCGUAGAUAUUGGGAGGAACACCGGUGGCGAAGGCGGCUCUCUGGACUGCUACUGACGCUGAGGCGCGAAAGCUAGGGGAGCAAACGGGAUUAGAUACCCCGGUAGUCCUAGCCGUAAACGUUGGGCACUAGGUGUGGGAGGUAUCGACCCCUUCCGUGCCGCAGCUAACGCAUUAAGUGCCCCGCCUGGGGAGUACGGCCGCAAGGUUGAA